Long non-coding RNA from Apis cerana (Asiatic honeybee), 1307 nucleotides. RefSeq lists it as uncharacterized. Lineage: Eukaryota; Metazoa; Arthropoda; Insecta; Hymenoptera; Apidae. The record is from RefSeq and is a predicted model, not a curated record.
AUCAGUAUAACCAUUGGAUGCCAUAGCUUUUGUUGUGAUAUGAUUUUUAUAAUUUUGAGGACUCAUUGUUGAUCUUCGAGUCAUUUACAAUCUUCUUCAAUAUAUAUAAUUUCUUAGCUGGAAAUUAAAAAAAAAUAGAAAAACAAAAAAGUUCAACAAAUCUGAUCUCCAAUAGAUAUUAACUAUUGGCUAAUUAAAAGAUAAGAGGGAACAAACUACGCCAUUGCGCUCAUGUUAACCAAUGAUAGAAACGAAGCAAUAGAGAAUUGUUAUAACUGUAUUUUGUACGGUACAACUAAAAAGUAAAAGUUAAAAUUAAAAUAUAAUUCGACUUAAAAAUAUCAUUUCAAAUUAAAUUAGAUUCUUCCUAUAAAAAAUUGAAAAAUCGUAGUUUAAUAUUAAAUAAAUUUUUCAAUAAAAAUAAUGAUCAUUUUUAAGUCAAAUUAUUUUAUUAUCGAAUAAUAAUUUUGAUUUAUUGUUAAAAUUGGUUCUAUUAUAAAAUAUUGAUUCAUAAAUUAUUAUAAUUUUAAUCAAAAUAUUAUUAAAUAUUGCAUUCAAUUUAUAAAAAUAAAUAUGAAUAUAAAACUAUCAUCUUUAUUUUAAUUUUAAUUUAUUUUAACAACAUCGUGCUAAUACUGUUUAAAAAAUAUAUCUUAUAAAGAAUUUUCAAUAACUAUUCAAUAAUUUUUCUUCUAACUCAUUUGCUUUUCAAAUUUGCAUAAUAAUAUGAUAAUAGAAUGAUAAUCAUGCAAUUAUAAAAAUUUUUUAUAUUAAUUUUUUUUAUUUUUACAUAUGAUAUGACGUCAUAAAUCCAUGUUACUAAAAUCUGUAUAAAAAAAACUCAUAAAAUAUAUAUUACGAAUUAAUUUAAUUUAAAUUUUUAAGAUUAUAAAAUUCAGAUUUAUUAUGUUAUAUUAUAAAUUUUUGUAUAAGAUUUUUAUAUAAGCUAUUUUUCUGUAUAUAUUAUUUUAUAUAUAUUUCAUAAUUAUGUGUGUCUAUUGACAUAAUAUAUAAAGGUCAUAAAUGUCUUCGCAUUUUACGUAAUUAAAAGCAAAUAUUUAAUUACUAUUUUAUUAUUAUUUAUUAUAAAAGAACAAUUUAGUAUAAAAGAACAAAAUAAUAAAUUAUUGUAUUAAAUUGAAAUAAUAUUACAAUUAUAUAUAAUAAUUAUAUGAUUUAAAAAGUACUUUAUAAUUUUAUUUCAUAUAAUUUAACAAAUAAGUUUGUCAAUAAUUUUUCUUAUUAGCAAUUUAAUAAAUAACAUAUAAAAUAUGGAAUUAAUAAUAAAUAAAUUAAAAUAUGAUAUA